Molecule: ribosomal RNA, 301 nt
Filed under: uncultured bacterium
Lineage: Bacteria
Description: partial 16S ribosomal RNA
Rfam family: Bacterial small subunit ribosomal RNA
Source: RNAcentral
CAGCAGCCGCGGUAACACGGAGGGAGCUAGCGUUGUUCGGAAUUACUGGGCGUAAAGCGCGCGUAGGCGGUUACUCAAGUCAGAGGCGAAAGCCCGGGGCUCAACCCCGGAACUGCCUUUGAAACUAGGUGACUAGAAUCUUGGAGAGGUCAGUGGAAUUCCGAGUGUAGAGGUGAAAUUCGUAGAUAUUCGGAAGAACACCAGUGGCGAAGGCGACUGACUGGACAAGUAUUGACGCUGAGGUGCGAAAGCGUGGGGAGCAAACAGGAUUAGAUACCCGGGUAGUCCCUGUCUCUUAUAC